RNAcentral lists this ribosomal RNA (497 nucleotides) under uncultured bacterium. RNAcentral's name for it is "partial 16S ribosomal RNA". It matches the Rfam family "Bacterial small subunit ribosomal RNA", at positions 28 to 507 of the family's 1533-position model. The record is from RNAcentral.
GAUGAACGCUGGCGGCGUGCCUAAUACAUGCAAGUCGAGCGAACAGACGAGGAGCUUGCUCCUCUGACGUUAGCGGCGGACGGGUGAGUAACACGUGGAUAACCUACCUAUAAGACUGGGAUAACUUCGGGAAACCGGAGCUAAUACCGGAUAAUAUAUUGAACCGCAUGGUUCAAUAAUGAAAGACGGUUUUGCUGUCACUUAUAGAUGGAUCCGCGCUGCAUUAGCUAGUUGGUAAGGUAACGGCUUACCAAGGCGACGAUGCGUAGCCGACCUGAGAGGGUGAUCGGCCACACUGGAACUGAGACACGGUCCAGACUCCUACGGGAGGCAGCAGUAGGGAAUCUUCCGCAAUGGGCGAAAGCCUGACGGAGCAACGCCGCGUGAGUGAUGAAGGUCUUCGGAUCGUAAAACUCUGUUAUUAGGGAAGAACAAAUGUGUAAGUAACUAUGCACGUCUUGACGGUACCUAAUCAGAAAGCCACGGCUAACUACGUG